RNAcentral lists this ribosomal RNA (759 nucleotides) under Williamsia faeni. Its description in RNAcentral is "bacterial SSU rRNA". It matches the Rfam family "Bacterial small subunit ribosomal RNA", at positions 81 to 852 of the family's 1533-position model. The record is from RNAcentral. Lineage: Bacteria; Bacillati; Actinomycetota; Actinomycetes; Mycobacteriales; Nocardiaceae.
UUGCUGGUGGAUUAGUGGCGAACGGGUGAGUAACACGUGGGUGAUCUGCCCCAAACUUUGGGAUAAGCCUGGGAAACUGGGUCUAAUACCGAAUAUUACCUUCUCCUGCAUGGGGGUUGGUGGAAAGCUCCGGCGGUUUGGGAUGGGCCCGCGGCCUAUCAGCUUGUUGGUGGGGUAAUGGCCUACCAAGGCGACGACGGGUAGCCGGCCUGAGAGGGCGACCGGCCACACUGGGACUGAGACACGGCCCAGACUCCUACGGGAGGCAGCAGUGGGGAAUAUUGCACAAUGGGCGCAAGCCUGAUGCAGCGACGCCGCGUGAGGGAUGACGGCCUUCGGGUUGUAAACCUCUUUCACCAGGGACGAAGCGAAAGUGACGGUACCUGGAGAAGAAGCACCGGCCAACUACGUGCCAGCAGCCGCGGUAAUACGUAGGGUGCGAGCGUUGUCCGGAAUUACUGGGCGUAAAGAGCUCGUAGGCGGUUUGUCGCGUCGUUCGUGAAAACUUGGGGCUUAACUCCAAGCGUGCGGGCGAUACGGGCAGACUUGAGUACUACAGGGGAGACUGGAAUUCCUGGUGUAGCGGUGAAAUGCGCAGAUAUCAGGAGGAACACCGGUGGCGAAGGCGGGUCUCUGGGUAGUAACUGACGCUGAGGAGCGAAAGCGUGGGUAGCGAACAGGAUUAGAUACCCUGGUAGUCCACGCCGUAAACGGUGGGUACUAGGUGUGGGUUCCUUUUCACGGGAUCCGUGCCGUAGC